This 220-nucleotide ribosomal RNA is filed under the name uncultured bacterium. RNAcentral describes it as "partial 16S ribosomal RNA". It matches the Rfam family "Bacterial small subunit ribosomal RNA", at positions 1281 to 1500 of the family's 1533-position model. The record is from RNAcentral.
CUAGGUCUCAGUUCAGAUUGCCAGGCUGCAACCCGCCUGCAUGAAGUCGGAAUUGCUAGUAAUCGCGGAUCAGCAUGCCGCGGUGAAUACGUUCCCGGGCCUUGUACACACCGCCCGUCACACCAUGGGAGCCGGUAAUACCCGAAGUCAGUAGUCCAACCUCGUGAGGACGCUGCCGAAGGUAGGAUUGGCGACUGGGGUGAAGUCGUAACAAGGUACC